Paramisgurnus dabryanus is the source of this 268-nucleotide non-coding RNA. Lineage: Eukaryota; Metazoa; Chordata; Actinopteri; Cypriniformes; Cobitidae. The record is from RefSeq and is a predicted model, not a curated record.
GCAAAUCCGUGCAACAAUGACAUGAAGAUGGCGGGCACCCACUGAGAACGGACAGGAAGCUUUUAUGUAAUAAAUGAAGGUGGAUACUUGUAGGAGAUUGGUAGUAAUGGAUGUUUUAAUAUAGUGUUGAAUAUACUAUGUGUUUAAAAGUAAAAUAGUUUUUUGUUUGUACAUUAUCUUCUAUAGUUGUUGGUUUUUUUGUAUAUUGCCUAUUAUGAUUUUUUAUGUACAUGUCUUUCUGUGUUAAUAAAUUCUCCUGUUGAAUAAA